UACAGAGGUCUCAAGCGUUGUUCGGAAUCACUGGGCGUAAAGGGUGCGUAGGCCGCACGGUAAGUCAGAGGUGAAAUCCCGGAGCUCAACUUCGGAAUUGCCUCCGAUACUGCCGUGCUUGAGGACUGGAGAGGAGAUUGGAAUUCACGGUGGAGCAGUGAAAUGCGUAGAUAUUGUGAGGAACACUAGUGGCGAAGGCGAAUCUCUGGACAGUUCCUGACGCUGAGGCACGAAGGCCAGGGGAGCAAACGGG
RNAcentral lists this ribosomal RNA (253 nucleotides) under uncultured bacterium. RNAcentral describes it as "partial 16S ribosomal RNA". It matches the Rfam family "Bacterial small subunit ribosomal RNA", at positions 524 to 776 of the family's 1533-position model. The record is from RNAcentral.